CCUACGGGAGGCUGCAGUGGGGAAUAUUGGACAAUGGGCGCAAGCCUGAUCCAGCCACGCCGCGUGAGUGAUGAAGGCCUUCGGGUCGUAAAGCUCUGUGGGGAGGGACGAACCGCUGCCGGUUAAUACCCGGCAGCAUGACGGUACCUCCUUAGCAAGCACCGGCUAACUUCGUGCCAGCAGCCGCGGUAAUACGAAGGGUGCAAACGUUGCUCGGAAUUAUUGGGCGUAAAGCGCACGUAGGCGGCUUAGCAAGUUGGAUGUGAAAUCCCUCGGCUUAACCAAGGAAGUGCAUCCAAAACUGCUGAGCUUGAGUACUUAAGAGGAUCGCGGAAUUCCCGGUGUAGAGGUGAAAUUCGUAGAUAUCGGGAGGAACACCAGUGGCGAAGGCGGCGAUCUGGGAAGAUACUGACGCUGAGGUGCGAAAGCGUGGGGAGCAA
This 440-nucleotide ribosomal RNA is filed under the name uncultured bacterium. RNAcentral's name for it is "bacterial SSU rRNA". It matches the Rfam family "Bacterial small subunit ribosomal RNA", at positions 338 to 771 of the family's 1533-position model. The record is from RNAcentral.